Molecule: long non-coding RNA, 721 nt
Organism: Engraulis encrasicolus (European anchovy)
Lineage: Eukaryota; Metazoa; Chordata; Actinopteri; Clupeiformes; Engraulidae
Exons: 3
Source: RefSeq, a predicted model, not a curated record
ACGACAAAUCGAUUAGCCAAGCUAACUUCCAGCCAUGGCACUGUCUCCGGCUACGACCUUCCACGACCACGACGAAAGCUCCAGCUCUGACUUUCCUGGCCCAUCACAAUCAUAACGACCUAACAGCCCAGUAGGACCGAUGGCCAGAGAUGGAGGAGGAGGAAGAUAGACGCAGCAGAGGUCGGGGGUAUUGAUUAGGAAGACUCCAACAGAAUUGACGCCCUGCUAACUGCCUUGAUUCAAUCAUUGAAUUUGAAGCAAUCCCAUCGGUUACUGCAGCGUGCCCUGACCCGUGACCCCAGUUUGAUGUUCGACCUGGCACAUGACAUCUGGUCCUCAGUCACAGCCCAGUAGCACAACCAACCUGGCGCCUCUGCGCAAUCUGUAAGGAGAUGCCCAUGAACAUUGAAAGGAAAUGCUGUGGUGUUCUCAGUUUUGAUGGAAGACUUUGGGCUGAUGUAGGACCAGGUGAGAGAAACGGUCUCUUCAGGCAUGCAGCCUACAGACAGUAUGGGGCACUUGAACAGGGUUGACGUUGUAAUACACAGUACAAUACCCAGGAUUAGCCAGGGUUACCCUGCUCCACUAGAGCAAUAUAAAAGGUUUAUACAGAGUACGGUAUAAAACACACAAACCGGCAGUGUGCAGAGUUUUAUUAUUUUUCAUUAUCUGUAGGAGCAUUCAUCUGUACAUUUAUACAUCUCACCUUGGUUUGGAACCA